AGAGUAAAAUAGUACGUGAAAUUGUUGAAAGGGAAACGAUUGAAGUCAGUCGUACCGACGGAAAAUCAGCUCUUCGAGUGUGGACUUGUGGGCGUGCGUGAGCUUUUAACGGUCUCGCUGUUUGCAAUGUUUGUACUUUUUGGGUGUACUUUUUCGUAUGGUAGGCCAACGUCAGUUUCGAUUGCUAUAAAAUGACCGGCGGAAUGUAGCUUCGAUCUCGUAUUGAAGUGUUAUAGCCUCUGGUAGAUGUGGUGACCGGGACUGAGGAUUGCAACGAAUAUCCUUUGGGCUAUCCGUCUGAUCUCUGAAAGUUGCUUAGGUGCCGAAAGCGUGCUUACGGUUAUUUAAGUUUGACGGUCAAAAGGUUAGAACGUGAUUAAAUUCGUUAAGGAUGUUGGCGUAAUGGCUUUAAACGACC
RNAcentral lists this ribosomal RNA (418 nucleotides) under Dominikia disticha. Its description in RNAcentral is "partial large subunit ribosomal RNA". Lineage: Eukaryota; Fungi; Glomeromycota; Glomeromycetes; Glomerales; Glomeraceae. The record is from RNAcentral.